UUUAGGGCAUGUUUGUUUCAUGAUUGGAAUGAAAAUGUGAAAUGGAAUCGGAAUAUUGGAAUGGAAAACGGAAUGAGGAAUCAUCUAAAAAUGUUUGGUUUAUUAUUAGAAUGGAAAUCAAAAUAGACAAAUAGGACAUCUAGGAUUUUAAUAGAGGGUUUUGGUUAAGGGAAAGGAGAGAUGAAGGGAGAGGAGGGGAGGUGUUUGUGAGAGAGAGAGAUUGAGUAGUUACUCUGGAAUGGGCCAAUCCAGGAUUCAAAGGUGAAUUCGGCCAUAAUGGAUUGAGUCAUUUCUAUUUUAGAGUGGAAUGGGAAUGGGAAUCCGAUUUCUGUAAAACAAACAACAACUAUUGGAAUUAGUGACUCUCAUUCCGAUUCUAGAGCCUAAAAUAGGUGAAGCUCUUAAUGGUUUCAGGAUUCAGGAGUAAUUAAUCAAUCUAAAAUAUAUAGGACAAAUAAAUUUGCUUUUAGGGCAUGUUGUUCAUGAUUGGAAUAGGAAUGAGAAAUGGAAUUGGAUUGCUUUCGAAUGGGAAAUGGAAUGAUGAAUUAUCCAAAAACGUUUGGUUCAUUAUUGGAAUGGAUAUCGGAAUGGAAAUCUAGAAUUUUUGAGAGAGCUUUUUGAUUAAGAGAGAGGAAAGUGAUGAAGGGAGAGGAGGGGAGGUGUUGGUGAAAGAGAAUUUUGAAUAGUUUAUUUUGGAAUGGGGCAAUCCGGUAUUGAAAGCCGGAU
Molecule: long non-coding RNA, 726 nt
Filed under: Ananas comosus (pineapple)
Lineage: Eukaryota; Viridiplantae; Streptophyta; Magnoliopsida; Poales; Bromeliaceae
Description: long non-coding RNA (ACOM_LNC014578)
Source: RNAcentral